GGAAGACUGCCCUAUGGGUUGUAAACCUCUUUUAUAAGGGAAGAAUAAGUUCUACGUGUAGAAUGAUGCCUGUACCUUAUGAAUAAGCAUCGGCUAACUCCGUGCCAGCAGCCGCGGUAAUACGGAGGAUGCGAGCGUUAUCCGGAUUUAUUGGGUUUAAAGGGUGCGUAGGCGGUUUAUUAAGUUAGUGGUUAAAUAUUUGAGCUAAACUCAAUUGUGCCAUUAAUACUGGUAAACUGGAGUACAGACGAGGUAGGCGGAAUAAGUUAAGUAGCGGUGAAAUGCAUAGAUAUAACUUAGAACUCCGAUAGCGAAGGCAGCUUACCAGACUGUAACUGACGCUGAUGCACGAGAGCGUGGGUAGCGAACAGGAUUAGAUACCCUGGUAGUCCACGCCGUAAACGAUGCUCACUGGUUCUGUGCGAUAUAUUGUACGGGAUUAAGCGAAAGUAUUAAGUGAGCCACCUGGGGAGUACGUCGGCAACGAUGAAACUCAAAGGAAUUGACGGGGGCCCGCACAAGCGGAGGAACAUGUGGUUUAAUUCGAUGAUACGCGAGGAACCUUACCUGGGUUUAAAUGGGAAAUGUCUUAUUUGGAAACAGAUAUUCUCUUCGGAGCGUUUUUCAAGGUGCUGCAUGGUUGUCGUCAGCUCGUGCCGUGAGGUGUCGGGUUAAGUCCCAUAACGAGCGCAACCCUUACCGUUAGUUGCUAGCAUGUAAUGAUGAGCACUCUAACGGGACUGCCACCGUAAGGUGAGAGGAAGGCGGGGAUGACGUCAAAUCAGCACGGCCCUUACACCCAGGGCUACACACGUGUUACAAUGGCCGGUACAGAGGGCCGCUACCAGGUGACUGGAUGCCAAUCUCAAAAGCCGGUCGUAGUUCGGAUUGGAGUCUGUAACCCGACUCCAUGAAGUUGGAUUCGCUAGUAAUCGCGCAUCAGCCAU
RNAcentral lists this ribosomal RNA (947 nucleotides) under human gut metagenome. RNAcentral describes it as "bacterial SSU rRNA". It matches the Rfam family "Bacterial small subunit ribosomal RNA", at positions 406 to 1355 of the family's 1533-position model. The record is from RNAcentral.